This 756-nucleotide long non-coding RNA is filed under the name Struthio camelus australis. RNAcentral's name for it is "lncRNA (ENSSCUG00000014246.1)". The record is from RNAcentral. Lineage: Eukaryota; Metazoa; Chordata; Aves; Struthioniformes; Struthionidae.
GCAUAUGGGAAUGAUGCUGUAGUCUCUCAAAGGGUUUCAACAUGCCCACAACCCUAGCAGCAUCUCCAGCAAGGAUUGCUCUGGGGUGGGCUGCCCUACCUAUUCUCAGCACAGCACAGAGUCUCUUUGGGGAAUGAAGCUUCUGAGCUAGCAGCAGAGAGCUGCCACAGCCCUUUGGAUCACAGUCAGCAAAUCUGCAUGCAUGAAAACGCAGAAGAAUUUGAAAGAAGAUACUAGGAUCUGAGAGGGAUAGCUUCAACAUUAGGGGUGGCAUUUUUUUUUUCCAAAUGAAAAACAUAAAACGGAGGGAAAUUCAUCUCAGGUUUAUUUUGUUUCCAUAUCCAAUACAUCCCUUGAGCAGAAUGAAUUUUGAUAUUUGCCUUUGAAGGAGCAGGGAGGCCACUCUUCCCAAAUAUUUACCAGUUUAAGAGACAACAAUGGAAGAAAAAUAAACACUUUGAAGACACAACCACUGAACCAAGAUACUGGUGAGUCACAGUUAUCCUGCUGCUCCAAUGCAGUUAAGAGAGAUGGCUCUGAAUCCUGCUCCAUUUUGUGCAACAUAAACAGAAUUUAUGCUGCAAUUAUAAAGUCAGAUUCUGCCUGCAGUUAUACCUUGUAACUCCCAUGAAGAAAACAAGUUGAGUGCAGCUGAAGACAGUGUGGCCUCUGCAAUCUUUAUUGCCAAUAGCAAACAUGAACCCAAGAGAACCCAGCUCGACUUUCAGAUGUAAGGUUGAGUUUAUCUUGGUAGCC